GCGGGUAUAGUUCAAUGGUAGAACGUCAGCCUUCCAAGCUGAACACGGGGGUUCGAUUCCCCCUACCCGCUCCA
Molecule: transfer RNA, 74 nt
Filed under: Magnetococcales bacterium
Lineage: Bacteria; Pseudomonadati; Pseudomonadota; Magnetococcia; Magnetococcales
Description: tRNA-Gly
Rfam family: tRNA
About the family: Transfer RNA (tRNA) molecules are approximately 80 nucleotides in length. Their secondary structure includes four short double-helical elements and three loops (D, anti-codon, and T loops).
Source: RNAcentral